This 253-nucleotide ribosomal RNA is filed under the name uncultured bacterium. Its description in RNAcentral is "partial 16S ribosomal RNA". It matches the Rfam family "Archaeal small subunit ribosomal RNA", at positions 474 to 727 of the family's 1478-position model. The record is from RNAcentral.
UACCAGCACCCCGAGUGGUCGGGACGAUUAUUGGGCCUAAAGCAUCCGUAGCCGGUCCUACAAGUCUUCCGUUAAAUCCACCUGCUUAACAGAUGGGCUGCGGAAGAUACUAUAGGGCUAGGAGGCGGGAGAGGCAAGCGGUACUCAGUGGGUAGGGGUAAAAUCCUCUGAUCCAUUGAAGACCACCAGUGGCGAAGGCGGCUUGCCAGAACGCGCUCGACGGUGAGGGAUGAAAGCUAGGGGAGCAAACGGG